This is a long non-coding RNA of Triticum dicoccoides, 462 nucleotides long. RefSeq lists it as uncharacterized. NCBI's taxonomy places the organism in Eukaryota, Viridiplantae, Streptophyta, Magnoliopsida, Poales, Poaceae. The transcript is spliced from 2 exons. The record is from RefSeq and is a predicted model, not a curated record.
UAAUCUGUCUGCAGAUUUGAGGAAAGAGACGUCCGUCCUACUCUCCUCUCUGCUCUUUAAAGCUCCCCGCAGCCGGAGGACACGGAAGGUCUGGAAUGGUCAUGUCUCUCCAUCGUCAUCACUUGACACCCACCAACCUGAUCAAGGCACUCUUUGUCAUGUGGUACGUACGAGUUUACAGGAGGAUGCUCCCCCUCUCCCUGAUAAGAGAAUGAGAUCCCAAAUUCUCCAAUGGUAUGGAUCAAUCAUGAAGAAAGAAUGGUAUGGAUCAAUCGUGAAGAAAGAAUGGUAUGGAUCAAUCAUGAAGAAGGAAGCAUCAUGGAUUCAUGGGGGCGACAAAACAUGGGUAUGUAUAUAUAGUGCAUCAUCUUCCCUUGUUUGACGACGCUGGCCGUCUUGUUUUCGUGUCAACAGUGCUUAAACAGGAUCCUAAGAUAAGAGUGGCAUGGGCAAGGCCCCGUA